Molecule: long non-coding RNA, 755 nt
Organism: Mytilus californianus (California mussel)
Lineage: Eukaryota; Metazoa; Mollusca; Bivalvia; Mytilida; Mytilidae
Exons: 3
Source: RefSeq, a predicted model, not a curated record
GUGUUGCUGGUAAGUCGCAUGAAAUUUAUUUCGAAAACAAAUCCAUCUCAAUCACUAAAUUAUCUUGCCAUCUUUUGUUAAUUUGUUAUUCUACAUUUGUAUUUUCAUUUAUUUCAGAUAAUAAAGCAAGAUGAGAGCAAAGUGGCGCAAGAAGCGUAUGAGGAGGUUGAAGCGUAAAAGGAGGAAGAUGAGGGCAAGGUCAAAGUAGACGUUGUCAUCGUUUAUUUUCAAAACUCCAAUUGAUGUGUUCAGCUGUAGACAAAGGUGUUGCAGCCAUGUGUUUAUUCCUAAACUCUUACAGAUGAUGAUGAUGAUGAAGAAAACGAUGAUGAUGAAUUAACAUGGUCACGUGAUCAGAGUCUUAGUUUGAUCAGGUACCAUGUUUUUGACUGAAAACAUGGCUGUUUCAACAACAAUAUAUGUUGUCAAGGAGAACCAACACGGACAUACAUCAACAGCAACACAAAGCAACAACAACAUUUUGUCAUCAGGGGUUCAACUUUGGGGACUAUUUUUUAAAGAAAAAGGAGGAGGAAGAGGAAGAAGAAUUGGUGUCUACUGCGUGGAAGUCUCCAUGGCGACCAGGCUAGGCAUCUGAAUGGUAACCACUGUUGAAGCUUUGGUGGCUCUCACAAUGAGAACAUAUUUUGUAAUAUCUUAGACUUAGUAAUGAUCCAAUUUAUCCAAAGACAUGAAAUUGCAUGGAUUGAAUUGUUCAGUUGAAGUUUUGAAAAUAUUAAAGAAAAAAAACAAAA